GCCCCUGUAGGGGUCAGGGCUACAGCAGACCCUGAAAGCUGAGAAACACCCCACACACUCACACCAAGUGAGGAGAGGCUGCCAAGGAAAGGGAGGGACGGAACAAGGAGAGAGAAGAAAGGAGGGGCUGCCUGGCCGGGCUGCUGUCCCCCCUACAGAGCCAGCUCAGAUUCAGUUCCAGGAGCAGCUUGGCUGCGGAAGCAACAGCAGUCCCUCUCCACCAGGGAAGGGCAGCGGGCGGACCGGCACACAGACGGAGGGCCUGGGACUGGAAGUCCUCAGCCCCCAGCCUCUCGGCCAGGCCUGGCCCCAUGGCCUUCAAUGACCUCCUGCUGCAGGUGGGGGGCGCCGGCCGCUUCCAGCAGAUCCAGGUCACUCUGGUGGUCCUCCCCCUGCUCCUGAUGGCCUCCCACAACACUCUGCAGAACUUCACCGCCGCUGUCCCCACCCACCACUGCCGCCCGCCUGCCGACACCAACCUCAGCAAGGACGGGGAGCUGGACGCCUGGCUGCCCCGGGACGGGCAGGGGCGGCCCGAGUCCUGCCUCCGCUUCACCUCCCCCCAGCGGGGGCUGCCCUUUCCCAACGGCACAGAGACCAAUGGCACGGGGGCCACAGAGCCCUGCACCCACGGCUGGAUCUAUGACAAUAGCACCUUCCCUUCCACCAUCGUGAUGGAGUGGGACCUCGUGUGUUCUCGUAGGGCCUUACGCCAGCUGGCUCAGUCCUUGUACAUGGUAGGGGUGCUUCUCGGAGCCAUGAUAUUCGGGCACCUGGCAGACAGGCUGGGCCGCCGGAAGGUGCUCAUCUUGAACUACCUGCAGACGGCUGUGUCAGGAACCUGCGCCGCCUUUGCUCCCAACUUCCCCGUCUACUGCGCCUUCCGGCUCCUCUCGGGCAUGUCGCUGGCUGGCAUUUCCCUCAACUGCAUGACACUGAAUGUGGAGUGGAUGCCCAUCCACACGCGGGCCUGCGUGGGCACCCUGAUUGGCUAUGUCUACAGCCUGGGCCAGUUUCUCCUGGCUGGUGUGGCCUAUGCUGUGCCCCACUGGCGCUACCUGCAGCUGCUGGUCUCCGUGCCCUUUUUUGCCUUCUUCAUCUACUCCUGGUUCUUCAUCGAGUCGGCCCGCUGGUACUCCUCCUCUGGGAGGCUGGACCUCACCCUGAAGGCCCUGCAAAGAGUGGCCUGGAUCAAUGGGAAGCGGGAAGAGGGGGCCAAUCUAAGUAUGGAGGUGCUCCGGGCCAGUCUGCAGAAGGAGCUGACCCUGGGCAAGGGCCAGGCCUCGGCCGUGGAGCUGCUGCGCUGUCCUGCCCUUCGCCGCCUCUUCCUCUGCCUCUCCAUGCUGUGGUUUGCCACUAGCUUUGCCUACUAUGGGCUGGUCAUGGACCUGCAGGGUUUUGGGGUCAGCAUCUACCUAAUCCAGAUGAUCUUUGGUGCUGUGGACCUGCCUGCCAAGCUCGUGGGCUUCCUUGUCAUCAACUCUAUGGGCCGCCGGCCUGCCCAGAUGGCCUCACUGCUGCUGGCAGGCGUCUGCAUCCUGAUCAAUGGGGUGGUACCCCAGGAUCAGUCCAUUGUCCGAACCUCCCUUGCUGUGCUGGGGAAGGGCUGCCUGGCUGCCUCCUUCAACUGCAUCUUCCUGUACACUGGGGAGCUGUACCCCACAGUGAUCCGGAUCCUCCCUCUCUGUGAAAGCUCCUGGGAACUUCUGGCAGCAAAGGAGGAGAAAAAAGAGAGCAGCUGUGACGUCAGGAUGCUGAUCCCUGCUCCUCUGGAUUCCAGCAGGGUCUGGACUCAAAACCAGUUUGCCACUUCCAGCUGUGCACCUGGAGAUUCAGCCUGCUAGCUGUCCUAACCCUCCGCACUGCACUUCCCGGCCUUUCUUUGCUGCUCUGCCUCCAGCGGGCCCUGGCGACCCAGCCGCCCAGACCGUCGUCCCCUGGAGAAAGUUCACACUCUCAAGCUGUACACAUUGCCUUCCAGGUGGGACCCGAGGGCUCGAGCUGAGUCAGGGCAACCUGGAGAGGGAAAGUGGCCUGGAGCUCCCCUGAAAAAGCCACAAAGCCCUGGGAGAGCUCAAGGCAGCUCAGAAAGCCAGAGGACAGACUGGGCAGAGCUGAAAUCACCGUAACCCACCCCACAUCCUGGAACAUCUGAAACCUCGGUGUUCCCCGAUGGUGCUGACAUUCCCAUGCUCCCCAAGAAUUUCUUGGCCAUUGUAGGACCCAGCAGAUGCCAGAGCCCCAACAGCCCCACCCCUGCUGCUGUUUCUCAGGCAGUGUUGCCCUCGUGGCUGAUGAGGGGCACCUAGGAUGGCAUCUUCUGCUUCUGCAGAUGUAGGGGUUUGGGGACCAGUGACUUGCCCUACCCCUGCCUCACAACCCUGCUAGCAGCUCUGACAUGUUCUGAUUCCUGUAGGUCUGUCAUCUCUGUGCUUAGAUCACCUGGUACCUGCAUCUGUCUCAACCAGAGCCAGUCCCUGGCCUGUCCCAGCUGCAUACACCCCCAACUGGUCAAGACCUGGUGCUGACUCAGGUGGCUUUGCACCAUCUGCACGGACUCCGUUUCCCCAGCUCCUGGCCUGAGACUUCCUGCACUCACCCCAUGCCCUUGACCAAAUGGAAUUCUACCUUCCUCCCACUCUUAAGUCACCAGUAAGUGACUUCUGACCGCGUCUCCCCAAGGAGUCAGCCCCCAAACACUGGCUCACAUCUCAUCCUCUUGCCUUGGAGGGCCAAGUUCUAAUACAGUCAUGCACCACCCCAGUGGCCACAGAUGCUGUCCCCAGUUUUGAACACAAGGUCCUAUCUUCAGCCAGGGUAGGUAGAGCCUUUGAGGCCACCCUCAAUUUCUCUGCCUACAGCCUUGAGCACUUCCUGGACAGGAAGGCACAUUCAAGAGGUUCUUCACCUGCAUGACGCUGGUAGAGGGCUCACGGGAAGCCACCUUCCCAGGGCCCCACCCUUGCAUCCCAGGUCCCACCUCAACAACUCAAGCUUCAGUCCACACCCACACCAAGCUCCUCCAUCAGGCUCUUCUCCCCACUUCCCAGGAGUUACAUGGCCCCUUGGAGAGCAGAUGCCCAGCCAGUUAAGCUUUCAUUUCGUGUGGUAGGCUGAAUAAUGCCCCCCAAAGAUGUCCACAUGCUGAUCCUGGAACCUGUGAAUAUGUUACCUUACAUGGUAAAAGGGACUUUGCAGAUGUGAAUAAGUUAAGGAUCUUGAGAUGGAGAGAUUAUCUUGGAUUACCUGGGUGGGCCUGGUGUGAUCACA
Molecule: RNA transcript, 3270 nt
Organism: Globicephala melas (long-finned pilot whale)
Lineage: Eukaryota; Metazoa; Chordata; Mammalia; Artiodactyla; Delphinidae
Gene name: solute carrier family 22 member 6
Source: RefSeq, a predicted model, not a curated record